AUGGAGGGGGAUUUGAUCCAUAUCAAAAUGCAUCAUGGGGGUACAUUUUCAAUGGAAGGACCACUUACUUAUGAUGGUGGCGAAGUGUCUAUUAUUCGAGACUGUGACAGUGAGCGUACAUCGUAUUUUCGUCUAGUUCGCAUGGCUAAAGACGUAGGUUUCAAGGAUGGUGAUGAGUUAUAUUAUACAGUCCUUGGCUGUAGUCUUGACGAAGGAAUUGAUUUAAUUCAUGAUGAAAAUUCUGUCAUUAAGAUGUUGAACUUUGCAAAGAAACACAACUUUGCAGACAUCUAUCUUAAACAUAAAGACCAUGAAAAUAUGUCUGCUGAUCCAAGAUCUGGUCUGCGCACUAAUGAGAAACUUCCAGCUGAGACAUGGCACGUCCACCAACAAACCGGGAAAACAUAA
Molecule: ribosomal RNA, 408 nt
Filed under: Triticum aestivum (bread wheat)
Lineage: Eukaryota; Viridiplantae; Streptophyta; Magnoliopsida; Poales; Poaceae
Description: partial small subunit ribosomal RNA
Source: RNAcentral